Molecule: non-coding RNA, 556 nt
Organism: Vicugna pacos (alpaca)
Lineage: Eukaryota; Metazoa; Chordata; Mammalia; Artiodactyla; Camelidae
Source: RefSeq, a predicted model, not a curated record
GCCUUUUCUGAAUCAGUUCAUUCAAAGGUUGUGUAUUUACUAAUUACUCUUAGCCCAGCACACUAAGAAAUAACAGUGCAGUCCAGGAACAAAGUCCACACUAGAGAAGGAUUGUCAUCCUCUUUCACGUGAUUUCAACAAUUAGUUUCAGCCUAUGCAAAUAUUUCUGAAGUAUUUCAGUUAUGAAAAAUAAACAGCAUGCCAUCAUUUGACGGUAAAGGGUGUGCUGGUGAUGGUUUACUUUAUUAAACGCACAAAUAUAAACUACUGGGACAGGAUUAUGACUGAAAUGGAGAGGAGUGACCAUCACCAGCGAUCCUAGACUUGGAACUGGAUGCAGGAAUUAAUGAGACUUUGGGGAGGUUGACAUUACUUGGUGUCAGAAGGGGGAUCUGAAGGAGAUGAACCCCUGAAGAGCUAAUGAUCCCUGGAACCAUGCAUGGUACAUACUUGAUUCUCUUGUGCUUGCCACUUCCUUUUGGUUCGGGCUUAUGGGCAUUCUCCUGUGGCGUUAUUCCAGCUAUCAGAAUAUCAUUUGAAUGACGACACAUCAAAU